This 429-nucleotide ribosomal RNA is filed under the name uncultured Acidobacteriota bacterium. Its description in RNAcentral is "bacterial SSU rRNA". It matches the Rfam family "Bacterial small subunit ribosomal RNA", at positions 355 to 776 of the family's 1533-position model. Lineage: Bacteria; Pseudomonadati; Acidobacteriota. The record is from RNAcentral.
UGGGGAAUUUUUCGCAAUGGGGGCAACCCUGACGAAGCAACGCCGCGUGGGGGAUGAAGGUCUUCGGAUUGUAAACCCCUGUCGACCGGGACGAACACGCCCGACCUAAUACGUCGGAGCGUUGACUGUACCGGUGGAGGAAGCCACGGCUAACUCUGUGCCAGCAGCCGCGGUAAUACAGAGGUGGCAAGCGUUGUUCGGAAUUACUGGGCGUAAAGGGCGCGUAGGCGGCUCGAUAAGUCCCGCGUGAAAUCCCCCGGCUCAACCGGGGAACUGCGCGGGAAACUGUCGAGCUUGAGUUCGGGAGAGGGAAGCGGAAUUCCGGGUGUAGCGGUGAAAUGCGCAGAUAUCCGGAGGAACACCGGUGGCGAAGGCGGCUUCCUGGACCGACACUGACGCUGAGGCGCGAAAGCUAGGGGAGCAAACGGG